CGUCCGUAGCCGGCCUAUCAAGUCUCUGGUUAAACCUCAAGGCUCAACCUUGAGAUGCUGGAGAUACUGUUAGGCUAGGGGGCGGGAGAGGUUGAGGGUACUACGCGGGUAGGGGCGAAAUCCUAUAAUCCGCGUAGGACCACCAGUGGCGAAGGCGCUCAACUGGAACGCGCCCGACGGUGAGGGACGAAAGCCAGGGGAGCAAAGGGGAUUAGAUACCCCCGUAGUCCUGGCUGUAAACGAUGCGGGCUAGGUGUUGGGUUGGCUUCGUGCCAACCCGGUGCCGCAGUGAAGACGAUAAGCCCGCCGCCUGGGAAGUACGGCUGCAAGGCUGAAACUUAAAGGAAUUGGCGGGGGAGCACCACAAGGGGUGAAGCCUGCGGUUUAAUUGGAGUCAACGCCGGGAAUCUUACCGGGAGCGACAGCAGGAUGAAGGCCAAGCUGACGACUUUGCUAGAUGGGCUGAGAGGAGGUGCAUGGCAGUCG
Molecule: ribosomal RNA, 486 nt
Filed under: uncultured Thermoprotei archaeon
Lineage: Archaea; Thermoproteati; Thermoproteota; Thermoprotei
Description: bacterial SSU rRNA
Rfam family: Archaeal small subunit ribosomal RNA
Source: RNAcentral